UUACAGGGAAACUAUAUGGUAUGUACAUGAGUAUGAAUGGAGGUAUAAGUGAUAAAUAGUAUAAAGAAAAGAAGUAGAUCGACGUGUAAUACAGUAUUACACACGAUAUCAUCGAAAUGUUCGAUGACGGAAAAGGCACACUACUCCGAGAAGCAGAUACAGAAAGAGAUGAAGGAUGUACCAAGAUUGCAACAACAAGGUUCUGCCAAGUCAGAGAAAGAAAUAUUGUUUCUCUUCAAGAACAAGUCGAUCAGCAAUAAAAAAAAGUCGCGGCGCGGAGAAGAAUAUAUAGAUAACGAAGAAGAACAUUGAUAUCGAGAAGAAGUACGUGGCAGAAUCGAGAGAAAAGAUUUUGAAGAUUACGGAGGAUAUGAAAUAGAAAAAAAGAG
Non-coding RNA from Nylanderia fulva, 389 nucleotides. The record is from RefSeq and is a predicted model, not a curated record. Lineage: Eukaryota; Metazoa; Arthropoda; Insecta; Hymenoptera; Formicidae.